GGAAUUGUCUGUCGAGCGCCGAGACAGGAUCGUGUCGAAGUAUCGAAACCGUUUCUGCGACAUUGAAGAUCCCCACUGCAAGAACACAGUGGCAUCUGUCAUUCUUAAAUGGAAGAAGUUUCGAACCACCAAGAACCUUCCUAGAGCUAUCUGCCAACCUGGCCAAACUGAGCAAUCGGGGGAGAGGGGCCUUGGUUGUAAUUGAGGCUGUAAUCGCUGCCAACGGAGCGUCAACGUACUGAGUACUUAAUGAUCAGUGCGGUGACGCGCUAAUUCAAUUUGGCGUUCAGCGUGCACUCAGUGCGUGGGACGUAACCAGUUAGUAGGAAGCGGGAUCUCUAGCGAGUUGGGCCUGUGCAAGAUCUGCGGCGGAGGAGAUAGCACUGCAGCGUGGUCGAGUCUGUAGCUGACACCCGGGAAAAAAAAAGUUACUUUGAGUGCGAAAGAGCCACCGAAAAAAAUGUCUGGAGACGACGAGCCACAAGAGCAGACCAUCGCGGAUGACUUGGUCGUUACCAAGUACAAGAUGGGGGCCGAGAUUGCCAACCAGGCCCUGAAGGCUGUGGUGGAGGCUGCCAGGGCUGGGGUGACUGUGGUCAGCCUCUGUGAGACCGGAGAUGCUUUCAUCAUGGCAGAAACUGGAAAGGUCUUCAGGAAGGAGAAGGAUUUGAAGAAAGGCAUUGCGUUCCCAACCAGUGUAUCAGUCAACAACUGCGUGUGCCACUUUCUCCCCUGAAGAGUGACCCUGAGAUCACACUGAAGGACGGGGACCUCCUCAAAAUUGACCUGGGGGUGCACGUCGAUGGCUUCAUCUCAAACCUGGCUCACAGCUUUGUGGUGGGAGUGACCAAGGAUGCUCCGUUGACAGGACGUAAGGCUGACGUUAUUAAAGCGGCACACCUGUGUGCUGAGGCUGCCCUCAGACUGGUCAAGCCUGGAAACCAGAACUCACAGGUCACAGAAGCCUGGAACAAGAUUGCCAAGUCAUUCAAAUGCUCAGCCAUAGAGGGGAUGCUGUCCCAUCAGUUGAAGCAGCAUGUUAUUGACGGAGAGAAGACCAUCAUUCAGAACCCCACGGACCUGCAGAGGAAGGACCACGAGAAGGCAGAGUUUGAGGUACACGAGGUGUACGCUGUGGAUGUGCUCAUCAGCACUGGAGAAGGCAAGGCGAAGGAUGCAGGCCAGAGGACCACCAUUUACAAGAGGGACCCAGACAAGCAGUACGGCCUGAAGAUGAAGACAUCCAGGAGUUUCUUCAGCGAGGUGGAGAGACGCUUCGAUGCCAUGCCUUUCACUCUCAGGGCAUUUGAGGAUGAGGCCAAGGCAAGGCUGGGUGUGGUAGAGUGUGCCAAACAUGAACUCCUGCAGCCCUUCAACGUUCUGCACGAGAAAGAAGGUGAGUUUGUGGCCCAGUUCAAGUUCACUGUUCUGCUGAUGGCCAAUGGACCCCUACGCAUCACCACAGGGCUGUAUGAGCAGGAGCUGUACAAGUCUGAACACGAAGUAGAGGACACAGAUCUCAAGGCCUUGCUCCAAAGCUCAGCGAGCCGCAAGACUCAGAAGAAGAAGAAAAAGAAGGCUUCAAAGACUGUGGAAACUGAAACAGCGCCAGAGGUCAAAGAGACCGACGCUGCCGAAUAAGACCUUCCACCUCCUGACCCAGUCUUCGUCUCCCAAUAAUACUGACAGACUUUUGACAACUGACCAACCCACAGAACGGAUGUCAAGACCUUCCAUCAUGCCCUCCUGUCCUGAGACGCCUGCCUCACGGUGCAGCCUAGCCUUGUGAUGGAACCUCCAAAUGUUAACUGAUGUCAAACUACUGGGGAUGGUGCUGCUCUCUGCUAAAUUCAAAUUCUGUCACAUCCAUUUCAAUCUCACUGUCCUUGAGACAGCAGGGUUCUCCCCAUGAUAGUAACCACUAAGUGACUCAGAAGGGCUAUUGAGUAGAACAAGGGCAUUUUCCUGAGUAGACUCUGUGGGAGACACGUUUAUACCAUCCAGUCGUUGAGCCUUGGUACUGUAUUAAAGUCAGCAGUGAAUAAUCAAAUGAUUUAUGAAAGCAAAGCAGGACAGUUGAGGGUGUGAUACGAUUGCACUGUGCCAAUGAUUUUUCUGAAGGUAAACCUUUUCGGUCCUAACCAUGCAGUUUCUUUUAAAUUAAUGGAAGUUUGUCUAUUUGGGAAGUAAAUAUGUAUUAACUUGAACCCUCCAUUAAACCUACUAUAAACAUGACAGACCUUAUAAACAGCCAUGCUAGCAAUUGAUGGCUGACUACGUUGACUCAAAUCGUUACGUACAUUAGCAAAAAUCUCUAGGGUCAUACGUAGCUAUUUCUCUUAUCAACUGCAACUGACAGUUUUACAUGGAUAUAUCCCCUAACAGGACUACAUAUUAAAUGGAUUUAGAACAGGGAACUGGAUUAGGGGCUUAAUCUGUACGCACCAUGCAAGGAAGGAGGAAAAAACAAGUUACUGAAGCCCAAUUAUGAAAGGUUUAAAUGUUCCCAUUAUUAAAUCAUUUAGGUAUAUGACUGCCAUAUUUUGCUUAAUACACUGAUACUGCCAUGGCUCUCAAUGAAUUACACCUAUAUUGGUCACUGUUUACAUCGGUUUCCAUAGCUGUUUAUCUGAUACUUUAUUGUAAAAUAAGUUUGAGGAUAUUUUUGAAUCAUCUAGAUUAGAAACAUUGCCAUGGUGACAUCAAAUAACUAUCGAAUUUGGGUAUGAGACAACUGACCAAAGGACUAACUAACCAACUGCUGCACCACUAGUUCCUGUGGGCUUUUCUUUUUGAAUAGGAUAUUAGAGGGAGAGAUCAUUGUGGAAAUGUUUCUGACUCGGUUUAUAUUUUAAGUUUGUUCUCGUGAAGGAAAUGUAUCCGCUCUUGUAUUGUAAAUCUGUAUGGAUAGAAUUCUACAAAAGUUCCUAUUUAGGAAAUAAGAGGUCCUCCCAAUAAAAUGUGGUAUUUUGGAA
This is an RNA transcript of Oncorhynchus gorbuscha (pink salmon), 2975 nucleotides long. It is a transcript of the gene named proliferation-associated protein 2G4-like, with no coding region annotated. NCBI's taxonomy places the organism in Eukaryota, Metazoa, Chordata, Actinopteri, Salmoniformes, Salmonidae. The record is from RefSeq and is a predicted model, not a curated record. The transcript is spliced from 14 exons.